This 3528-nucleotide long non-coding RNA is filed under the name Homo sapiens (human). RNAcentral's name for it is "non-protein coding lnc-DHRS7B-1:4". Lineage: Eukaryota; Metazoa; Chordata; Mammalia; Primates; Hominidae. The record is from RNAcentral.
CGGGCUACUAGCGCCGGGCCCCUCCGCGUCGCCACGCCUGCCCUUCACAGCCUUGGCCCAUAAGGUCACCGAGGGGCGGGAGGCGCCGCCCGGGCCCUCCUUGGAGGCGGGCGCUGCUCCCGCACCAUCCUCCCCCAGUUCUCUUAGACUCCGGGGUACUUUGGAGGCCGAGACAGACACGCUGUCCCUGCUGCCACGGAGGUCCCUGCUUGCAGGUGCAGGCUGUUAGAGGAGAGGGUCUGAAAACAAGAAAGGGGAAUAGCUGUAUGAUAACUGCUUGAAGGCGAGAGGGCCCAGCGACAGCUCUGUUUUAGACAGGGCCUCCAGGCCUCUUAGACUCAGUCCCUGCCACGCACCCACUCCUGCCCUGGCCGCUGCGACGGCAUAAUCUCGGGAUCUUUGAAGGCAGAUGCGGGGCUAAACCAUCCCACCUGACGGGAACCCUGCCACAGGACCCGACAUAUCCCUGUCUGGACACUGCUGUAACGAGUCAAAGUCAGGAAGGACUAACUGGAGCCCAGAGAUUCCCAGGUGCUGCUGCCUCAGACCUGUGGACUCUUUGGAGGAUCUCUUACAGUUUGUGAACUUCUCAGUUCCUCUACUGCUCCCACAGACAACGUUGCUAAACAUAUUAAUUGGUCCCAUAAAUACUUGAGCAAAACAAAUGCGAAAAUCUGUCCCGAAUUCAGCCUAGAAGAAGCCCAGCCCUGCGCGUCACACUUCUGUGUAGUGGAACCCCCCUUCCCACCCCGCCGCAGGCCACAGCAGGAGGGCCAGCAGACGGAAAGGCGACCCUCUCCUUGUUGAGGAUUCCUUUCGAUUUCCUUCCAGCUGACAUUCUACCACAGUUUUAGCUGCUUGCAAUCCUCUCACCGUCCCUCAUCACCUACAGUGUGUGAUUCAAAUUCCUUAGCACAAUCAAGAAGCCCCUCCUUAGUUUGGAAGUUGCCUAGCUCUCCAAAUUCAACUGCCUACCUUUCCCGUCUGGAACUUGCCAGGCUAGUAAAUUCAGAGGGUUUGCAGAUACGUAGAUGUUCUAUGCUUUACCUAAAAUGCUUUUACCUCCCAGCCAACUUUUUUUUUUUUUUUUGAGACAGAGUCUUGCUCUGUCGCCCAGGCUUGAGUGCAGUGGUGCGAUCUUGGCUCACUGCAACCUCCGCCUCCCAGGUUCAAGCAAUUCUCCUACCUCAGCCUCCUGAGUACCUGGGAUUACAGGUGGUGCCACCACACCCAGCUAAUUUUUGUAUUUUUAGUAGAGACGGGGUUUCACCAUGUUGGUCAGGCUGGUGUCCAACUCCUGACCUCAUGAUCCAUCCCCCUCAGCCUCCCAAAGUGCUGGGAUUUACAGGCAUGAGCCACGGUGCCCAGCUCUCCCAGCCAACUUUUGUCCUUCAAGACCUUGUACCUGUCUGGUCUCUAAAAAGUACCUGGCCUUCCUGUUGAGUCAUACAGCCCUGCCUCCAAGUGUCAGCGUAGUUCAUGCUGGAGACCUCUUAACAGUUCCAUGGUAUGACACUGCGGAUAUGGCUGUCUUUUCUUUGUAUCAGUGUGGUGAUUCAGAGGGUAUACUAGGGAUUCUAGAACGCACUUCUGGCUCAGGGGCUGCUUGUGUAACUUCUGUUUCUCAGCUGCCUGGUUUGUAUCAUGGGAUGAUAGUAUCUCCCCUCAGAGGAUUGCGGUAUUUCAUGAGGUGAUACGUGUAUGGAGGCCAAGUGCUGUUUUAUAUUUUAAGUGAUCUACAUCUUGAUUUUCACAACAACUGUAUAAAAGUGAUACUGUUGGCCAGGUGCGUUAGCUCACGCCUGUAAUCCCAGCACUUUGGGAGGCCAAGGCGGGUGGAUCACCUGAGGUCAGGAGUUCAAGACCGGCCUGGCCAGCAUGGUGACACCUCGUCUGUACUAAAAAUACAAAAAUUAGCCGGGCAUCGUGGCACACGCCUGUAAUCCCAGCUACUCGGGAGGCUGAGGCAUGAGAAUCAUUUGAACCCGGGAGGUGGAGGUUACAGUGAGCUGAGAUCGCACGACUGCACUCCAGAAUGGAUGACAGAGCAAGACUCUGUCUUAAUAAUAGUAUCACUUUUUUUUUUAAUCAACAAUCUCAUUUUGUAAAUGAGGAAAUCAACUUACAGACGACCUGAGUGACUUGCUCACACUGCCAGCCAGGAAAGUGCUAGGAUUUGAGCCCAGACUGUCCAGUUACAGAGAUUACACUCUGCCAUUGUGCCUCUCCAGAAGCACUGGAGGUAGGUCUAGUGCAUAGAGUAAAUGUAAAUGCUGAAACAACUGUGGCCCUAAUGAACAUCCCAUUUCUCCAGCUUUUUACUCUCCCCUUAACUUCUGAAUGACCGUCUGCUUCUAAUCUGCCAACUUGGUCUAAGAUCCUCACGGUGUUUCCUCCUGAUUACUGUUAAUGCACGGAGGUUGUCUGGAAGGUUCAUAGGCAGCCUGAUUGACUCAGUAUGUAUUAGCUGAGCACCUUUGGAGGGCACAGCCUGAGUGGUGGGAAUUAGUUCCUGGGGGCUGUCCUGCGGUGGAGACUCCCGUGAGCCCUCUGUCCUGCUGUAUGAAGGCAGCCAGUGGAAAGGCAUGUCCUCGCUGGUGCUCAAAGUAAUCUGCUACUUCUCUUACUACACUUUUCAUUCAUUCAUUCUUAAAUCGUUGAAGGCAUACUCUGCAGGUACUCUUGGGCACAGAGAUACGGUGUUUAGUAAGACAAACACUGUUCCUGGGUCUUAACGGGCUUUACAUUCCAAUGGGAUAAACAACUUAAGUAAAUAUUUUCAGAGAGGAGUACCAAGAAGAAAAGGAACAGGAUGAUAUAAUGGAGUGACUUGGAGAUCACAGGUGGUAAGAGGUCACUCUAAAAAGGUAACAUUUGAAGGCUGGGCACAAUGGCUCACACCUGUAACCCCAGCACUUUAGGAGGCUGAGGAAGGAGGACAGCUUGAGUCCAGGAGUUUGAGGCCAGCCUGGGCAACAUGGGGAGACCUUGACUCUACAAAAAAUUUAAACAUUAACUAAGUAUGGUGGCACGUGCCUGUAGUCCUAGCUACUGGAGAGGCUGAGGUGAGAGGAUCUCUUGAGCCCAGGAGUUUGAGACUGCAGUGAGCUAUGUUUGUAUUACUACACUCCAGCCUGAGGGACAGAGUGAGACCCUGUCUCUUAAAAACGAAAACCCGACUGUAUCAAAAGGUAACAUUUGAGUGGGACUUGAAAGAGUGUGCAUGCGAAGGACUGAAGACAGAAUGUUCUGUGCAGAGCGAAUUAAUGCAAUGGCUUUGCAGUGCAGAUGGGCCUGGGGUGGUCCAAUAAGGUUAGGACCAAGGUGGCUGGAGCAUCAUGAGACAAGCGUGGUACUUAGCUUGCCUUUGGUUAAGUCACUUUCUCUAUUUGAAUUUCAGUUUCUCACCUGUAAAAUAUGAGUAAUUUUAUCUGUAUUAGCCAGUGUGUAAUUAGAGGAAAAACCAUUUAAUACAGGGUAUUGUUUACAAAGGUGUUGGAAGGGCAUGAGAAACAAGGGGAGAACAAG